AACGAACGCUGGCGGCAUGCCUAACACAUGCAAGUCGAACGAGACCUUCGGGUCUAGUGGCGCACGGGUGCGUAACGCGUGGGAACCUGCCCUUAGGUUCGGAAUAACUCCCCGAAAGGGGUGCUAAUACCGGAUAAUGUCUUCGGACCAAAGAUUUAUCGCCUUUGGAUGGGCCCGCGUUGGAUUAGCUAGUUGGUAGGGUAAAAGCCUACCAAGGCGACGAUCCAUAGCUGGUUUGAGAGGAUGAUCAGCCACACUGGGGCUAAGACACGGCCCAGACUCCUACGCAAGGCAGGAGAGGGGAAUAUUGGACGAUGGGCGAAAGCCUGAUCCAGCAAUGCCGCGUAAGAGAUGAAGGCCUUAGGGUUGUAAAGCUCUUUUACCCGGGGUGAUAAUGACGGUACCGGGAGAAUAAGCUCCGGCUAACUCCGUG
RNAcentral lists this ribosomal RNA (433 nucleotides) under uncultured bacterium. Its description in RNAcentral is "partial 16S ribosomal RNA". It matches the Rfam family "Bacterial small subunit ribosomal RNA", at positions 29 to 507 of the family's 1533-position model. The record is from RNAcentral.